This 210-nucleotide non-coding RNA is filed under the name unclassified sequences. Its description in RNAcentral is "raiA RNA". It matches the Rfam family "raiA RNA". The record is from Rfam by way of RNAcentral.
UUUUCAUGUGUCCGUGGUUGAAAGUCGAUGCCAGUCGCAGGCGAAACGAUCCACGUAAGCCGGGAAAAUUCCGGUGAGCAUGGUGCGGCUUAGAGGUAAGUCCUGCCAGCGCCUCGGCGCUGAGAGGGUCAGUAGUGGGGAGGCAGAGGCCUUAUGAGCGAACGCUCCGGCAGGCGAGUGUGGGGUCAAAGACCAGGUCGGGCAUGAAAA